AUUGAACGCUGGCGGCAUGCCUUACACAUGCAAGUCGAACGGCAGCACGGGUGCUUGCACCUGGUGGCGAGUGGCGAACGGGUGAGUAAUACAUCGGAACGUACCUUAUCGUGGGGGAUAACGCAGCGAAAGCUGUGCUAAUACCGCAUACGCCCUGAGGGGGCAAGCGGGGGAUCGCAAGACCUCGCGCGAUUAGAGCGGCCGAUGCCUGAUUAGCCAGUUGGUGGGGUAAAAGCCCGCCAAGGCGACGAUCAGUAGCUGGUCUGAGAGGACGAUCAGCCACACUGGGACUGAGACACGGCCCAGACUCCUACGGGAGGCAGCAGUGGGGAAUUUUGGACAAUGGGGGCAACCCUGAUCCAGCAAUGCCGCGUGAGUGAAGAAGGCCUUCGGGUUGUAAAGCUCUUUUGUCAGGGAAGAAACACCGGCUCUAACACAGUCCGGGAAUGACGGUACCUGAAGAAUAAGCACCGGCUAACUACGUGCCAGCCGCCGCCGUAA
This 501-nucleotide ribosomal RNA is filed under the name uncultured bacterium. RNAcentral describes it as "partial 16S ribosomal RNA". It matches the Rfam family "Bacterial small subunit ribosomal RNA", at positions 29 to 523 of the family's 1533-position model. The record is from RNAcentral.